GUCAGCGGCAGACGGGUGAGUAACGCGUGGGAACGUACCUUUUGGUUCGGAACAACACAGGGAAACUUGUGCUAAUACCGAAUAAGCCCUUACGGGGAAAGAUUUAUCGCCGAAAGAUCGGCCCGCGUCUGAUUAGCUAGUUGGUGAGGUAAUGGCUCACCAAGGCGACGAUCAGUAGCUGGUCUGAGAGGAUGAUCAGCCACAUUGGGACUGAGACACGGCCCAAACUCCUACGGGAGGCAGCAGUGGGGAAUAUUGGACAAUGGGGGCAACCCUGAUCCAGCCAUGCCGCGUGAGUGAUGAAGGCCCUAGGGUUGUAAAGCUCUUUUGUGCGGGAAGAUAAUGACGGUACCGCAAGAAUAAGCCCCGGCUAACUUCGUGCCAGCAGCCGCGGUAAUACGAAGGGGGCUAGCGUUGCUCGGAAUCACUGGGCGUAAAGGGUGCGUAGGCGGGUUUUUAAGUCAGGGGUGAAAUCCUGGAGCUCAACUCCAGAACUGCCUUUGAUACUGAAGAUCUUGAGUCCGGGAGAGGUGAGUGGAACUGCGAGUGUAGAGGUGAAAUUCGUAGAUAUUCGCAAGAACACCAGUGGCGAAGGCGGCUCACUGGCCCGGUACUGACGCUGAGGCACGAAAGCGUGGGGAGCAAACAGGAUUAGA
This 656-nucleotide ribosomal RNA is filed under the name uncultured bacterium. RNAcentral's name for it is "bacterial SSU rRNA". It matches the Rfam family "Bacterial small subunit ribosomal RNA", at positions 91 to 782 of the family's 1533-position model. The record is from RNAcentral.